ACGAAGGGGGCUAGCGUUGUUCGGAAUCACUGGGCGUAAAGCGCGCGUAGGCGGACCGUUAAGUCGGAGGUGAAAGCCUGGAGCUCAACUCCAGAACUGCCUUCGAUACUGGCGGUCUUGAGUCUGGGAGAGGGGGGUGGAACUGCAAGUGUAGAGGUGAAAUUCGUAGAGAUGAGGAAGAACACCGGUGGCGAAGGCGGCUCACUGGACGGGUACUGACGCUGAGGUGCGAAAGCGUGGGGAGCAAACAG
This 251-nucleotide ribosomal RNA is filed under the name uncultured prokaryote. RNAcentral's name for it is "partial 16S rRNA". It matches the Rfam family "Bacterial small subunit ribosomal RNA", at positions 525 to 775 of the family's 1533-position model. The record is from RNAcentral.